CCUACGGGGGGCAGCAGUGGGGAAUAUUGCACAAUGGGGGAAACCCUGAUGCAGCGACGCCGCGUGAACGAAGAAGGUAUUCGUAUCGUAAAGUUCUGUCCUAUGGGAAGAUAAUGACAGUACCAUAGAAGAAAGCUCCGGCUAAAUACGUGCCAGCAGCCGCGGUAAUACGUAUGGAGCGAGCGUUGUCCGGAAUUAUUGGGCGUAAAGGGUACGCAGGGGGUUUAAUAAGUCGAAUGUUAAAGAUCGGGGCUCAACCCCGUAAAGCAUUGGAAACUGAUAAACUUGAGUAGUGGAGAGGAAAGUGGAAUUCCUAGUGUAGUGGUGAAAUACGUAGAUAUUAGGAGGAAUACCAGUAGCGAAGGCGACUUUCUGGACACAAACUGACGCUGAGGUACGAAAGCGUGGGGAGCAAACAGGAUUAGAUACCCUUGUAGUC
RNAcentral lists this ribosomal RNA (439 nucleotides) under uncultured Finegoldia sp. Its description in RNAcentral is "bacterial SSU rRNA". It matches the Rfam family "Bacterial small subunit ribosomal RNA", at positions 338 to 795 of the family's 1533-position model. Lineage: Bacteria; Bacillati; Bacillota; Tissierellia; Tissierellales; Peptoniphilaceae. The record is from RNAcentral.